This 612-nucleotide ribosomal RNA is filed under the name uncultured bacterium. Its description in RNAcentral is "bacterial SSU rRNA". It matches the Rfam family "Bacterial small subunit ribosomal RNA", at positions 11 to 636 of the family's 1533-position model. The record is from RNAcentral.
GUUUGAUCAUGGCUCAGGACGAACGCUGGCGGCGCGCCUAACACAUGCAAGUCGAACGAGCGAGAGAUAGCUUGCUUUCUCGAGCGAGUGGCGAACGGGUGAGUAACGCGUGAGGAACCUGCCUCAAAGAGGGGGACAACAGUUGGAAACGACUGCUAAUACCGCAUAAGCCCACGACCCGGCAUCGGGUAGAGGGAAAAGGAGCAAUCCGCUUUGAGAUGGCCUCGCGUCCGAUUAGCUAGUUGGUGAGGUAACGGCCCACCAAGGCGACGAUCGGUAGCCGGACUGAGAGGUUGAACGGCCACAUUGGGACUGAGACACGGCCCAGACUCCUACGGGAGGCAGCAGUGGGGAAUAUUGCACAAUGGGGGAAACCCUGAUGCAGCGACGCCGCGUGGAGGAAGAAGGUCUUCGGAUUGUAAACUCCUGUUGUUGAGGAAGAUAAUGACGGUACUCAACAAGGAAGUGACGGCUAACUACGUGCCAGCAGCCGCGGUAAAACGUAGGUCACAAGCGUUGUCCGGAAUUACUGGGUGUAAAGGGAGCGCAGGCGGGAAGACAAGUUGGAAGUGAAAUCCAUGGGCUCAACCCAUGAACUGCUUUCAAAACUGU